GCAAAGACUAUGAUGGAGAAAAGUAGAUUACAUGUUAAUUUUCAGGGAGGAAGGGUCGCUGACUGAAAGCUCUUCUAAAGAUGACAGUAAUUGAAGUUCGCUCCGGAGUUGCCAGCUGAACGGUUCGCCAAGUAGGAUUGGACGGUUCUUCCCCGUUAGGCGAAGGAGGUAUCGGAAUUUGUUUCGGCACCUUUGAGAGAGGACUUCUUUGAAGUCAAGUUGGGUGGUAACGCGAGAAAUACUUCUCGUCCCUAUG
RNAcentral lists this non-coding RNA (256 nucleotides) under Desulfosporosinus sp. Its description in RNAcentral is "T-box sequence". It matches the Rfam family "T-box leader". Rfam says of the family: Uncharged tRNA acts as the effector for transcription antitermination of genes in the T-box leader family. T-boxes are found upstream of many aminoacyl-tRNA synthetase genes and some amino acid biosynthetic genes usually in Gram-positive bacteria. The record is from RNAcentral. Lineage: Bacteria; Bacillati; Bacillota; Clostridia; Eubacteriales; Desulfitobacteriaceae.